Molecule: long non-coding RNA, 3022 nt
Organism: Pseudopipra pipra
Lineage: Eukaryota; Metazoa; Chordata; Aves; Passeriformes; Pipridae
Exons: 7
Source: RefSeq, a predicted model, not a curated record
CCCAGUGGGCCUUGUCCACCUCCCUAUCUUCCAGGGGAUAUACAUAUUGAAGUUGAAAAUGCUCUUCCUAAUCCUUUGUUGGCUUGAGGCUCUCCCCUCAGGAACUGCAGGAACUCCUGGUGCCGCCUGGGCCGAUGGAUUGGACGCCCCAGCCCCUCCGUUCCUGCCCAGCCACUGGGGCCGUGUCCAGUGGUGGCACUGCCAGCCCUGCAGGGGAAGUGGGAAGGGCCUUUGCAGGUCCUGUGGGUCACAUUGAUAGCAGUGGGAUGGAGCCUGGAAACUGCCCAGAGCUGAGCCCAGGGAUUGAAAGGGACCAAGCAAGGGAGGUGAAGAAAAAAGGAAGAAGGGAAGUGAGGCAGCAGCCAAGCAGCACCAAGUUGCUGUGUAAGCAGCAAGGUCCCGACUGAAGUGGCAGCUGCAGUUGUUCCUGUGGUGUGGGCCAGUGGAAUUCCAAGAAAAUGGACAAGGGCAGAACCUCUAAGAAUUAUUCCUAAGGCAGAGUCUCUCCUGGUAAGGCAAACCCAGUAUCCUUCAAAAUUGGGAAGCCAAGCUGGAUUGGUUCUAGUAACAGCUGAAUUUGCUGAUCAUGGUUUGAUAGUAGAAUGUGAAUGGAAGGACCUGUAAAGAAAGGAAAUGGGAAAGAUGAUUGAUUGCUGGGAGCAGGGGCUGACAGACAGUGGCCCUGGAUGUUUGGUUGUGGUGGGGAAUGAGCAGCUUGACCUGCCCAGGGUUGUCUGUGCUGGGGGUGGGUUUGGGUCCUGUGUGGCCACAGGUCUGUGCAGCAGCUGGAGCCUGGGCAGGUUUGGGGGCUGUGGUGUGCCAGGCUGCUGAGUUUGUUGUCCCUGUUUCCUUGGAGUGUCCCAGUGUCCCUGCUUGGCUGUUUGUUACCCUGCAGGCAGAAGAGCCCAGGCCUGAGCUGGCUGAGUGUUGGUGUGACCCACAGUGGGUGUCCCUGCCCUCGGGACAGUCCCCAGAGCUGCCUUUGGCAUCCCCUGCUGAAGGGUGGGAGCUGCCCAGAGCCAGCAGCAUCCAGCUGGAGGAUGCAGGAGGAUGCAGCUCCUGUUGUCUGGGAGGUGUUGACUCAGUACCUUUCUUGGAGCUGCUGUUGGAUGAAGAGGUGCCCCCAAUAGACCUGUAAGGUCCUGGUUUUCUUCCCUGCUUCUCCCAGCUUGUCCAGGAGAUGGAAUUCCAGUGCUACAGUCUAGAUGGGUCGUGGUGCUCCCAAAAGGAGCCUCUGUGCCUUCAGGACAAAUUCUGUUGCCACUGAAGCUGUUGGAGAAGUGGAGCACUGGCAGUGAGAGGUGUGGAAUGAUGUUGUUGUGGCACAGAAGAAAUGCAAUUGGCUGUUUUCUCUUGAAUGUAAUGGUGAGAGCUGCAGGAGUGCCAGGUGUGUGUUCCAGUCCCCAGCAUUUGGGUUGCACAUGUCCUGCUCAGACACAGGUCCAACUUGCUCAGUCCUUAACCCAAGAGAGGGAGAAUGAAGGACUGGCACUGUUCAGGUGAUUGGUGUGACAGGGGUUAAACUGGGAAAACAUUGGGUGAUUCCUCAGUUUGUCUGUUUGCCAAACUCACCCAAACCUGUGCUAGGAAGAGAUGGACUGGAAAAGUUGAGGCAGAAAUGGAAUUGAAAACUGGGACUAUUGACUCUGUAAUUGCUGAAACUAAAUGUGUCCAAGCAGCAGCUCUUGUUGUGCAGGGAAUAACUCCUGUCAGCAGCAAGGCCCCGACUGAAGUGGCAGCUGCAGUUGUUCCUGUGGUGUGGGCCAGUGGAACUGCAGGAGAGUGGAAGAGGGCAGAACCUGUAGGUAUUACCCCUGAUGUGGGGUCUCUCCUGGUAAGGCCAAGCCAGUGUCCUUUAAAAUCAGAAUGGCAGCUUGGAUUGGUUGCAGGAACAGCUGAAUUUGCUCCUCCUGGUUUGCUUGUAGAAGGUGAAUGCCAGAACCUGCCAAGAAAACCAAUGGCCAAGGGGAUUGAUUAGUGCAGGACCUGAGAGAACCCCCUGAAAUGACAGCCUGGAGUAGUUUCCAGGAUUAGAUUGCAAAGAUGGCCUUUGCUGCCUCUCCUUGAGCAAGGAAAGCCAAGAAACCUUUGCUUUUGCAGGAGAAAAUGGGGCAAGCGGGCAGGAAGAAGAGAAGCCCCGUGACUCCUCCCUGAGCCCCAGCCAGCCCCUGAACUGCCUUCCUGGGAAUGGUGGGACGGGCUGGACUCUGGAUUGCUCCCUCUGCAUGUGUGGCUCUCCCCUCAGGAACUGCAGGAACUCCUGGUGCCGCCUGGGCCGAUGGAUUGGACGCCCCAGCCCCUCCGUUCCUGCCCAGCCCCUGGGGCCGUGUCCAGUGGUGGCACUGCCAGCCCUGCAGGGGAAGUGGGAAGGGCCUUUGCAGGUCCUGUGGGUCACAUUUAUAGCAGUGGGAUGGAGCCUGGAAACUGCCCAGAGCUGAGCCCAGGGAUUGAAAGGGACCAAGCAAGGGAGGUGAAGAAAGAAGGAAGAAGGGAAGUGAGGCAGCAGCCAAGCAGCACCAAGUUGCUGUGUAAGCAGGUAGUGCCCUGGAUUAGUUGAUUUCUGCCUCACUCCCUGAUGUCUGAGUUUGGAGAUGUACCAAGAACUGGUAGUUUUUGCAGUGGGAUGUUCCCUAGAAACUGCAUGGAGCUGAGCCAAGGAACUUAAAGGGACUGAGCAAGCAAAGUAAAGAAAGAAUGAAGGGAACUGAGGCAGCAGCCAAGCAGCACCAAAUUCCUCCACAACCAGGUGAGUUGUGUUGAAGUUGCUAAGGUGGUCCCUGAGAACUCUGGGGGCUGCAGGCACAGGGGACCACCAGAGACCCCGAUGGAGCCCCUCAGAGACCUUAUAAAGGUUUGUGUUUAUGGUAACAGGUGUUGGGAAUGUCCUGAAUGUGGAACAGGAAUGCAGGGAAGGAAAAUGAACCCUCCUGUAAUGCUGACCCCUCCCAUCAGCUGCAGUGGAGACCCCUCCGUGUGCCCUUUGGGAGCUGAUUGCCAGGACCCCCGUGGGGCUGGGAUGAUG